CGCGUAAAUAUGUAAAAUCAUAGUAAGCAUGGUUAGCAUAAGUAUUGUAUCGGACCUAGGUAUAAUCUUUUCUUUUCAUAUAUUAUUCUGUACAUUUUCAUUUUUAAUAUGCUAAAACAAAUUUAAAGAUGCUUUUGAUUCAAAACCGAAAGCACGUUCCCAGAUAAAAUAUAAAUACUGAUGCACUCAAAUUGCAAGCGAUGCAUGCACAACAUAGUAUACUAACUCUGUUGAUGCACAUUGCCUGACCUUCGUAAGAGUUUAUGCAAUUCCCACAGUAAUCCGAAGAUGUAUAUAAAGUUGGAUUCAUUAAAAGAGUUCAACAUUUUUUUAUUGCAUAGCGGAACGUAAAUGAUAAUGCAAGCUGUAACAAAUAAUGUUAUGCUAUAUUAUAGAUAAUGUAUCUCCCUCGUGCAAAGCUCUGAUUCCUUUCACGAAUUUGGCUUUACUUUUUGGACCUUUUGGAUUAUAGCUCUUCAUCUUUUAUAUAAGCUUUGGAUUUCAAAUAUUUUGGCCACGAGCAUCACUGAAGAGACAUGUAUUGUCGAAAUGCGCAUC
Molecule: long non-coding RNA, 558 nt
Filed under: Mytilus galloprovincialis (Mediterranean mussel)
Lineage: Eukaryota; Metazoa; Mollusca; Bivalvia; Mytilida; Mytilidae
Source: RNAcentral